UCCAGUGGUUUAAUCACGUUUUCUGAAGCGAUCUAAUCAGUUUUGGGUGAUAAUAGAACUAAACAGAACUCCUUCAAUAUAAAUCUUGACAUCAGCAGUCUCUAUGGCGAUCAAGAUUUCAAGCUUGAUGACAUUUCCUAGAGAUUGACACACUCCCAGAGCACUUUGAUGGCACUAAGGAGUGUAUUUGAGCUUGAAAUCUUGAUCGUGUUGAGAGACUGCAUUGGCAAGAUGUACAAUGAAGAAGGAAUUAGAUUUUGGUCUGUUAUCAACCAAAACUGAUUAGAUCGCUUCAGAAGAUGUGGGUUAAACCAAUGGAGUCUUAUGGAUUACUUUUAUGCUGCCUUUCUGUGCUUUUUGGAGCUUCAAAGUUUUGGUCACCAUUCACUUGCAUUGUAUGGACCUACAGAGCUGAAAUAUUCCUUCAAAAAUCUUCUUUUGUGUUCUGCAGAAGAAAGACAUCAUGCACAUCUGGGGUGGCAUGAUGGCAAGUAAAUAAUUUUUGGGUGAACUAUUUCUUAGUGACAUUCGUCAUCCUGAGUUUUGGAUCUUUAUGUUGUUUCAAAAGGUUUUACAAAACGAAGUUACCUGGCACAGUUUGUUUUUAUACAGUUGCCAAAUGGCCACAUGGGGGCGCCAAGUGUUUAUAAUAGCCUACUUUCAUGUUUGAAAUGUGUGGUAUUCAAGUAUUAUUAUUUUUAAUCCAGCUUUUAUUAUAUAUCAUUGAUGUGUAUCACAUUUUUUAAGAUUCCUAAUUUCAUGUUUUAUAUGGUUCUAGAGUUCAAGUUAAUUUUGUGAAAAGAGAACAUUUGAAUUCUCUUGUAUAUCUAAUAUUAGUUUUUUUUUUUUUUUUUUAACCAAAGCCGUUAAUAAAGAAUACCGUGUCGUUGACACUUCUCUCCUCUCCUUUCUAACCAAAUAACCAUGAAAACACAAAAUAUUUGUUUUUAAAAAGCCGAGCAAACCACUGAAGCCUAGAGCUGCUCGACAGAAUAAUUACCAGCCCUAGUUGAGUAGCGCUGUGUAACCUAAUUUGCAUAAACAUGAGUAAUUUAUGAAUAAUAAAUGCCCUUGUGUUCGGCGUGAUCCAUUAAUUUGCAUAUCGCCAUGGCACUACAGUUAUUUUUCCUGAGUGCUGUGCUACCAUGAUGCGAUAAGAGCCUGCACAAAACAGAAUCAAAAGACCCUCUGCAAUGGACCCGUAGGAGCCUCUGGACCCUGACUGAAAAAUCUGGGUUUAGGGGAAGAUCUUAAAGAGGCAAAAGUCAAAUCAUGGCAUCAAAAAGAUAAGUAGUUCAGAUGUUUUCCUAUCCUUUACCUGUCCAUUCUGGACCUGAGCAGUGACCGUUAAGGUUCAUUUAAAGCCUCUAGUAUUUGUGUCAGCACUGUUAAGCAUGCUCUAAUCUAAGUUAAACUUGGCUCCGGGCAUAAAGAAGCUUUUCUGCCUUCUAGACUUCUCUGUAGACGUUGCUGUAUUCUUACUGCAGCUCUGAUAGCCCUUGUCGGUUCUGUAUGGUGAGAGUCCUUAUUAGGGAUGGCACUGCUCUCCCAGCUUAUUCAGAGAUGUGGGGGCUGGCUCGAUCAUAAGUAACUGAGGUAAAAGGCCACAUCAAAGUGGCUCCCAGUCAUGAUUUGUGCUCAAGUCAGCACUCAAGGCCUGUUGUUUCAGGAAUGGGUAUAACUAUAUGAAACUAAACAAAAUGGUCCAUAUCCCGGCAACUGCUAAAUAAUUAUUGAAAAUUUUUAUUAAAUGAUUGGGUUUAGCCCUUUAACACUGGUUUUCCAGUGCUCAAAGCAAGCAACAUUGUGAUAUAAUAUUAUAAAAUGAUAUAUAAUGAUCCAAUAAAGCAAAGGUGAGGCUGUGCAUUGAUUUUUACCAUGGGUAAGGGGUGUUCUUUGGCAUGACGCAAAGACUCCAGUGGCUUAUUGCUUUUAUAAAAUGUCAGCAAUAGCAAUGUUAUUUAAAAACAAUGUUCAAUAAACAGUGACAUUAAUAAAUAUUGAAAUAAUAAUUCUUCUGUCAUUUCAUUCAUUAUCCUAACUGUAGGCUCUUUGUGGUUGCAAAGCAACAUGGUGCAUCAUGGUGCAUUCACAUUGUGUUGGAAUCAUUUUACAGUCAUCAUCCAAUUAGAAUUCUGAGUCAGAGCUAUGUGUUUUAAGAAAUAUAACGACAUAAUUCGGCUCCGGUAAUUUCCUCUACUUGUAACUACUGUAUACCACUACUAAUGAUGAAAAUGAAAAAAAAAAAAAAGUGUGGAUAAAAUAACAUUCUCCAUUUUCAAUAGUCCUAUUGAACCAAACAGAACCAACUAACCAACAUACAAUGACGUAAAAGCAUGUUGCGUGCUCCUUUAUCCGUUUUAGCAAUAUUUUAAACAAUUUAAACAUUAAACAGCAUGCCUUUUUUCAUUUCUCCGGCAUACCACUCAAUACAAACCUGGAGACACUUUCUUUUCUCCUUUUGCUAGGAAGCUUUUAUCCUCAAGUAAAGCAUACAUGACAGUCGAAUGUGUCUGUGGCACAAGGCAGUAAUGAUUGCAUGAAAUUACAGAGGCUUCAGCAGCAGCUCUCAGGUAGCUGGAUCAGCUCUCUCCCCUGCCUUACUUUCUCUCCCUUCCUGCCUCUCACAAGCUAUUCAAAGGGAAUGUAUAACUGAAUAUAAGAUGGAGCGGGCGUCUUUCAAGGGCCAAAGCUAAUGAGACAUUUUACCUUGAAAUCAGAGCAAGACAGGAGGAGACCCUGUAGAGCUGAGCUUGCAUAGGGGGAUCACAGUUGGGCCUGGAUCCUUCAGAGGAAGCGAGAGACAGAGGGAGAUAUAGAGAGGGUGUGAUCCAUUCCACAGAGGAAUAAUUCUCUCAACGAGAGUGGAUUAUAACAGACAAUCCUGCAAACGGACCCAUGACAAGAGGCUCAGCAUAUGGCCCCAAGCCUUUCUUAUUGUCUGGAGUGGCGGGGCAGGACGGGCCGCAAUUAUUGUCACCGUUGUAAGAUGGGCGAUGUGUCUGGAAGACCAGACACACGGCAGUGUGACAUGAUCCCAACAACUCCUCGUGCCCUUUCCCACCAAACCACAAUCUCCUAUCAGACAUCGGCUUUGCAAAUGUUUUCUUGCAAGGUCUUUGUUAAUAUCAAUGCCCAAAUUUCAGCUCAAACUCUUAAUGUCAUGAUGUUAAAGGGAAAAAUCACCCAAAAAUGAAGAUUCUGUCAUCAUUUAUUGACCUUUGUUGUGUUCUAAACCUGCAAGACUUUGCUUCUUCCUUGGAACACAAAAUGUUAGGCAUAUUGUUGGGGACUGAGAGCCUCAGUCUGAAUUCACUUUCACUGAAAAACAAAGAGCUUUUUCCUCUUGUGCUCUACAAAAGAAAGAAAGUUCAUUUUUUCAGUGGACUAACCCUUUAACUGUGAUCUUGUCAAGUAUAUUGAUUUGCUUGGCCAGGAGAGGGAAAAUAGUUUGGAGUCUGUUAAAUAUCUUGAUCAAUUGUAUUGUAUCAGAAAUGGCCAAAUACCGUAUAUCACAUAAAAAGUGGCUUAAAUGGUUUGCUGCCACAGCUAUCCACAUAAUGAGUUUAGACUAACCACUAUGUACAUUUAAUAUGUGAAGAGCUAUUUUUGCCAGGUGUCAGCUGUCAAAUAAUGAAAAUAUAUUAUCCACAAGUGUUGUACCAUCUGCUUGUGCCACCCUUUAAAUAUAGUGUAAAAACAGUCAGUGUGUUUUCCUAAACUUUAAAUUGACAGAAUAAUAAUGGAUCACACAGCACCAGAAGAUGAUGAGGUAUGUAAAGCACUUAGUUAAAACAAGGUUUCUGUCAUUCCUGGAGCUUGAUGUAAAAUUCUCAUUCAUCACUUUUUUUUUUAGGACAGGAAGUUGCCGAUGGCAGAACGUAUCCUUUUUUGAUUUGUUGAAACUGACACUCUGUGAGCCAUUUUUUAUAUGAGACAUUACAAUUAUGAAAUCAAUUUAUUUCCCACAUUAAAAUGAAACUUACCCUCCCACUCCCUCAUGCCAGUCCAUGGUGAAGAUUUGUUGAAUAAUCUGGAUGUACUAUGUUACAUGUUUUAAAUUCAAAGGGUAUGUGAUGGUGACCGAGUUAUACAUGUUAUUGCACAAUUUUCUAUCAUUAAUAUUUACUAAACUGAAAACUUUAUUUCAUUGCCUUUUGAUAACAAUUAAAAUAUUUAAAAGCAUUUAAAGCAUUGACAGUGCUGACAGAUCACAACUGUGCCCGUCCCCGUUACCCAAACAAUUCAUGAUUUCAAAUGCAUGUACAUAUAGAAGAAUACUGUUCUGUUCUAUACCUUUAUGUCUUCUGUAUACUGGACAAAUAGUAUAUUUGUUUCCAACAUUUGAUUUUAGUAUAGAAAUGGAAUAACAUUUACAAUUGUAAACAAAUGCAUACAUCAUACAAUCUAAGACACACACAAAAAAUUUAAUAAAAUUAGUAAAUGGAUAAAAAAAAUGUUGAACACAUUUGAGUAAGAUUGAAUAAAUAAAUGUCUCUUUUUUUUACACACGUCUUUCCUCCUCUUCUUUAAGAUUUUAUUAUUAUUAUUUUAUUUACUUCAUUUAAUCAUAUUCAUUUCAUAUUUGAUGCCAAGAUGGAUGACCUUUAAAACAUUAUUAUAAAUCAAGAACUGAAUUACAAACAUUAAAAUUCAUUAAAAAGGUCAUUUUAGGAAACUCAAUAAGAGUUUAAGAUUUGAAAGCAAUGUGAUGUGAAAAUUCCUUAUUAGGAGAAAAAUCUGCAUUUAAGAGGAAGCCCCAUCUUGCGGGUACCAUAUUAAUUAAAUUGUUGCUCGGUAACAGUGGCAAACUGUUGGUAAAUGGGCAGGGUUUAGUAAAGUGAGCAGGGGUAGUUCACACAAUGGGAGCACUUCGCCUCUUUACCAUAUUGAAAUAUGUCCCUUACAAACUUAAAGAGUAAUACAGCCUAACCCUUAUUUCCCCUUGUCUUUCAGGCCUGCAAUUAGAGGACAUAAUAUAAGUUUCUCACCUCCAUUGGUGAAUUAUGGGAAAUCAGCUCCUGUGACCUACUGAGAUACCAUAGACAGAUCAUGUCUCCAGCCACUGCACCCUGGCAACUGCCUCCAGUGGCAACACAUUCCCAAUAACAAAUACAUCUGUACCUAUAGGAUCAUUGCUAUGGCCACACAAAAACCAAGAGCAGCUGCUGGAGAGUAGUCUUAUCUGUGACUUAAUGUAAAUGUCAUGUCUAAAUGAUCUUCUAUGAGCAUGUUUACCCUUCCUGGUUAGAGACACAUUGUUGAAAUUAUGGCUUAAUUUACAGUCAUGCACUGGCACAAUAAAAUUAAUACUUACUAAUCACAUGUAUCUUAUAAGUUUCCCUUUCAAGUAAUAAUAGAACUGUAUGGACUUUUCACUUUGAGCUUUCUUUUUCUUUUCAUAGAGGAAUAAAUAUAUUUUCCCUAUUUAUGAAUAAACUGACAUAAAUCCAGUACUAACUAAAUUUUGUGUAUUUCUUCCUUCUUGUUCAAACAGCAAAGAGACUCUGUUUCAUGUGGACAGUAGAUAAGGCUUUUGUCAUCUUUAGUCACUGAUUUUUAAGUAAGCUCUCAUUUUCUAUACUCGUUAAUGAAAUAAUGCAAAAUACUCACUCUGUUCGCAUAACUGAGUAACUUUGGCAAUAGUCCUGGUAUGCUGGAUUCUGAAUGGCAGUGUCUCAUGGGUGCUUCAGUUGACUGGCUGCUGACCUAUGCUGGACCGCUAGCCACAGUUCAGACAAGAGGCACAAGAGGCACAUCAAUGGCAACUGAGGGCUAAAGAGGAUUAUAGAUCAGCAGACAUAGAA
Long non-coding RNA from Myxocyprinus asiaticus (Chinese sucker), 5807 nucleotides. RefSeq lists it as uncharacterized. Lineage: Eukaryota; Metazoa; Chordata; Actinopteri; Cypriniformes; Catostomidae. The record is from RefSeq and is a predicted model, not a curated record. The transcript is spliced from 3 exons.